CCUACGGGAGGCAGCAGUGGGGAAUAUUGCACAAUGGGCGCAAGCCUGAUGCAGCGACGCCGCGUGAGGGAUGACGGCCUUCGGGUUGUAAACCUCUUUCAGUAGGGAAGAAGCGAAAGUGACGGUACCUGCAGAAGAAGCGCCGGCUAACUACGUGCCAGCAGCCGCGGUAAUACGUAGGGCGCAAGCGUUAUCCGGAAUUAUUGGGCGUAAAGAGCUCGUAGGCGGUUUGUCGCGUCUGCCGUGAAAGUCCGGGGCUCAACUCCGGAUCUGCGGUGGGUACGGGCAGACUAGAGUGAUGUAGGGGAGACUGGAAUUCCUGGUGUAGCGGUGAAAUGCGCAGAUAUCAGGAGGAACACCGAUGGCGAAGGCAGGUCUCUGGGCAUUAACUGACGCUGAGGAGCGAAAGCAUGGGGAGCGAACAGGAUUAGAUACCCUGGUAGUCCAUGCCGUAAACGUUGGGCACUAGGUGUGGGGGACAUUCCACGUUUUCCGCGCCGUAGCUAACGCAUUAAGUGCCCGCCUGGGGAGUACGGCCGCGAAGGCUAAACUCAAAUUGAAUUGAGGCUUGNGAGNGCGAGACGACGACGAGGGAGAGG
RNAcentral lists this ribosomal RNA (599 nucleotides) under uncultured bacterium. RNAcentral's name for it is "bacterial SSU rRNA". It matches the Rfam family "Bacterial small subunit ribosomal RNA", at positions 338 to 947 of the family's 1533-position model. The record is from RNAcentral.